RNAcentral lists this ribosomal RNA (253 nucleotides) under uncultured bacterium. Its description in RNAcentral is "partial 16S ribosomal RNA". It matches the Rfam family "Bacterial small subunit ribosomal RNA", at positions 524 to 776 of the family's 1533-position model. The record is from RNAcentral.
UACGAAGGGGGCUAGCGUUGUUCGGAAUUACUGGGCGUAAAGCGCGCGCAGGCGGUCUUCCAAGUCAGUGGUGAAAGCCCGGAGCUCAACUCCGGAAUUGCCAUUGAAACUGUGAGACUGGAGUACGAGAGAGGUGAGUGGAAUUCCCAGUGUAGAGGUGAAAUUUGUAGAUAUUGGGAAGAACACCGGUGGCGAAGGCGGCUCACUGGCUCGUAACUGACGCUCAGGCGCGACAGCGUGGGGAUCAAACGGG